Molecule: ribosomal RNA, 1179 nt
Filed under: uncultured crenarchaeote
Lineage: Archaea; Thermoproteati; Thermoproteota
Description: bacterial SSU rRNA
Rfam family: Archaeal small subunit ribosomal RNA
Source: RNAcentral
GCCGANNCCGGUGCGGGCUUGAGAGAAGGAGCCCGGAGAUGGACACUGAGAAAAGGGUCCAGGCCCUACGGGGCGCAGCAGGCGCGAAAACUUUGCAAUGUGCGAAAGCACGACAAGGUUAAUCCGAGUGCAACAUGCUGAAUGUAGCUUUUGGUAAAUGUAAAUAGUUUAUUGAAUAAGGGGAGGGAAAGUCUGGUGUCAGCCGCCGCGGUAAUACCAGCUCCCCGAGUGGUCGGGACGAUUAUUGGGCCUAAAGCAUCCGUAGCCUGUUCUGUAGGUCUUAUGUUAAAAUCAAUUGCUCAACAAUUGAACUGCAUGAGAUACCACAAAACUAGGAGGCGGGAGAGGUGGACGGUACUCCACGGGUAGGGGUAAAAUCCUCUGAACCGUGGAAGACCACCAGUGGCGAAGGCGGUCCACCAGAACGCGCUCGACGGUGAGGGAUGAAAGCUGGGGUAGCGAACCGGAUUAGAUACCCGGGUAGUCCCAGCUGUAAACGAUGCAAGCUAGGUGAUGCAUCAGCCACGUGUUGAUGCAGUGCCGCAGGGAAGCCGUUAAGCUUGCCGCCUGGGGAGUACGGUCGCAAGGCUGAAACUUAAAGGAAUUGGCGGGGGAGCGCCACAAGGGGUGAAGCCUGCGGUUCAAUUGGAGUCAACGCCGGGAACCUUACCAGGAGAGACAGCAGAGUGAAGGUCAAGCUGAAGACUUUACCAGACAAGCUGAGAGGAGGCGCAUGGCCGUCGACAGCUCGUGCCGUGAGGCGUCCUGUUAAGUCAGGCAACGAGCGAGACCCUUGCCAUUAAUUGCUUCCAUCGAUCGAAAGGUUGGCGGAGCUAGUUAAUGGGACUGCCGUUGAUAAAACGGAGGAAGGAAGGGGCCACGGCAGGUCAGUAUGCCCCGAAACUCUUGGGCCACACGCGGGCUGCAAUGGUAGGCACAAUAGGUACCGAAUUCGAGAGAAUGAGGCAAUCCCAAAAUCCUACCCCAGUUGUGAUUGAGGGCUGCAACUCGCCCUCAUGAAUCUGGAAUCCCUAGUAACCGCGUGUCAACAUCGCGCGGUGAAUACGUCCCUGCUCCUUGCACACACCGCCCGUCGCUUCACCCGAGUUGGGUUUGGGGGAGAUAGUGUCUUAUUGACAUUAUCGAACCUNNUUCGACANGGGGGAGAAGUCGUANAGG